UAUUUAAAUAGUUUAGGAAGAAUAAAAUUUUGAAGAGAUUUAGGCAGUAUUAUAUACUUUUAAAU
Molecule: transfer RNA, 65 nt
Filed under: Euphyllura phillyreae
Lineage: Eukaryota; Metazoa; Arthropoda; Insecta; Hemiptera; Liviidae
Description: tRNA-Phe
Source: RNAcentral